Lycium ferocissimum is the source of this 484-nucleotide long non-coding RNA. RefSeq lists it as uncharacterized. The transcript has 3 exons. The record is from RefSeq and is a predicted model, not a curated record. NCBI's taxonomy places the organism in Eukaryota, Viridiplantae, Streptophyta, Magnoliopsida, Solanales, Solanaceae.
CAGCCGCCGCUGCGGCGGACUAACAACAGCCGUGUGAAUCGCCCAACGGAGAUCCGGUUGAGGAAACGCUAUCAUUUUAUAAUUCUACUGUUCAGGAAUUGGAAGAAUUUAAUUGUUAUGCAUUGAGUCCUUUGAAUUUCCAAAUUACCAAGUUCCGGUUUCAUUUAUGCCUUGUUGCUUUCGUUUUCAAUACUGGGAUAUCUUAUAUGCAUGCAACAUGUGUUAACGUGUCUGGUUCUGAUGCUCCGUCUACUCCAUGGGACCACUAGGUGGGAUUUAUUUCGUAACCAAGGUGGAUAACAGUAAUUCCUCUGUCUCACUUCUAUUUUCAGUGUUGAUGUAACUUGAAUCGCCCUUAAAAAAAUCAUGUCAGUAAAAAAUAUAAAGAAUUUUCAGUAUUUUUUAUUUUUAUCUUACAUCUAAUGUAAUGCUAUCAGUCACCUCGUACUAUUCCAUUGCGCAUCUUGUGUAACAUCAAGGAAAG